This 449-nucleotide small RNA is filed under the name Histoplasma ohiense. Its description in RNAcentral is "hypothetical lncRNA". Lineage: Eukaryota; Fungi; Ascomycota; Eurotiomycetes; Onygenales; Ajellomycetaceae. The record is from RNAcentral.
CCUGCACCUGCUCAUUUCUGGCCAUUGUGAUCUUGCAUAAUCCUUGAUGUUCUUCUGCUCUGUGCUCCGCGCUUGUGUAGUUUCUAAUGAUUCUUUCACAUAGCUCUUAAUGUUCUUCCGCUCCAUGCUCUGUGCUUGUGUAGUCUCUAAUGAUUCUUCUGUGUAGCUUCUUAUGUUCCCCUGCUCUGUGUUCCACACUUGUGUAGUCUCUAAUGAUUCUUUCACAUAGCUCUCAAUGAUUCCUCUGCUCCACAUUCUGCGCUUGUGUAACUUCUAACAAUUCUUACACAUACCCCUUAAUGUUCUUCUGCUCCGCGCUCCACUGUGGAGCGGCUUCUGAUAUUCUUCCACCCCGAACUUUCCUCUAUAAGAACCCCCUUCGUACGACCUUUUCUUCUGAUUUCUUUUCUCUUUCUUUCCUUAAUCAAUUCGUAAUCUGUAAUUAGGAU